AACUUUUAAAAUCACAUUUAUUUUAAGUUUGAGGAAACAGCUUUAGUUUGUAACACUAAAAUUUUAAGAAAUAGUCUAAGAAAUCCCAGCUUUUAAAUAUAUAAUAUAAAUAUAUACAAUAAUAAAUAAAACGUUAACUGCAUUUUAAAUUCAGUAGUGUAAAAUACAGAAUAUUUCCAUACCAUUUUGCUUUUGCUUUUAUAUUUUGGUACGUUUUUGUUAGAAAUGCAUGACUAAUACUCUUAUACCAUUAAGCAUUUUAUUGAAAAAAAUAUUAUUGCAUUGAACUACAGUCCAAGUAAUUUAUUGAAUAACCUUAAAAAGCUGCUUUGCAUGUACAUUAGUGCAAUUUACUUAACCACACCAUGAUAAAAAAAAACAUUUUGUACAUAAAAAACAAAAUAAAAUCAUUGGAUUAUGUUUCAUAUUGCCAGACUAUCAUCCAAUUUAAUUACAAAGUAAAUACUUUAAAUAGGAUCGAGUAAGGUAGGAAUUUGUCUUAAACAGCUACAUAACCAAUUUACAUUAUCAACCAAUUUAUAAUCUCCCACAAAUAGAAGGAAGUGACAAUUUUUAGCAUGAUGGAAAAUAAAUCUUUCUUGAAGUUGAUUAUUUCAAUAAGUGAAUAUGUCUUGAAAAACACUAUUUUGAAUAUCUUUUGAACAAAGAUAAAGGUCUACAACUGAAGACUAGAAUAUAUUCAUUAGGAACACACAGUGGCAUACACACUCACAUGUACACACACAUAUAUUUUGUUAUAUUUCCAAUUUGCCUGCUUUGCAUUUCUGCCAAGAUGAUCUCGCAAUUUAAGAAAGGUGAUGAGGUGCAAAAGGAAGCAGUGGCUUUGGGAAGGGAAUUAAGAAGGAGGAUUGGGAGGUUGCCCUCCAACACAAAGCUGCAUAAAAUGAAAAAAAAAAAAAAAAGACCCUUUGGCUUAUCUUUCUCAUAUUGGUUUAUUCUAAACCCUACCGAUUCAGCCACUGCUUCCAUUUUAAUAUAACUUAAUCCAAAGCAAUACAACAAUCACUUUCAAAUGUCUACCUAAUAGAAGCAGUGGAUAAUAUUUUUGCUGCAAUGAAAUGAUAACCUUUUAAAAUCCUCUGGACCCAGGUUUAUUGGCUGAGAAACUCAUAUUUUAGUAGGAAACUCCUAUCUUACUGAAGUAGUUUCAGUCUGAGACACAAAGGAAGUAAACUUUUUUCUCGACUACUCUAUGGAAGUGGUCACUCACUUGCUUUUUUAAUAAUUUUUCUAUUUUCCAAGGAGAGUACAUUUCUCUUUAGGAGUUCACUCACUUAAAAAUUCAAAAGUAAAUCUCUUCAUGAGUCCUGCUAAGCCAGAGAUAAGCACUAGGCCAAUUUUGCCCCUAAGUACAUUAGCUACAUACACUGAUUUGUGAGAUUUGGGUUCUUUCUAUUGUGCUUCUAGAAAAUUGGAUUUGACAUUUACAUAUUUUUCUUUGGAAUGUUUAACCAUCUUUCUGAACUCUUGUGGUGAAAUUUUCAGGGAAGAUUGAAAAAUGUGCUACCAGUUUGAAAUGACCAGCAACGUUAUUUCACUAAUGAGGAGGCAGUUAACUCCCCACACAGCCUGGGGAGGGCAUCGGGAUGUUUCACUCAUAUAUAUCUAAAACACUAGGCUAACAAGCAGUCCCCUUGAUAAAGACUAAAGCAUCUUCAUAUCUCCCAUUAGUGUUCUGAAUGCUUGAAAAGCAUGAAGCUUUUGAAUCGUUUCCAAGUAUUAUGGUAAGGUUGAGAAGCUGUGUUGCUGCCAUCAUUGGGAACUGUGGAAGUAAGCAACAAGUUCACACCCUAAGGGUACAGCCCAAUCCGGGAAUAUGAUACUGAGUACCUCUACUGAUUAAAUAUUCCAUUCAAUGGGAAAGCUUUAUGGGCUUUAUGAAAGUUUACAUUUCUUUGUAUAUGUUUCUAUUCAGAGAUAACAAAGAGAUUCUGUUGAAUCCUGGCAGAAACUGAAGGGGAAAAAAAAAACACUGUCAAAUCCAUGUUCUGUAAAUGAAAUUAAAAGUAUAGGGGAUCUUUCUGUGAAAUGUCUGCCUAAGAAAAAGAACCCCUGGGAAUUGGGGCCUUUCCAAAUUACAUUCUAUAUAUAUAGAAGGUGAACUCACAGAGAAUAUUGAAAUGCAGUUUUCAAAUGCCACUGUAUUUUUUCUUGCUGAAUUUGUCAGGAAAUUAAGAACAUGAACUUUCCCAAAUGUCCCAUUAUUUGUACAGAGAAUUAUUUUGUUAAAACAAACCCUGAAUUCAGGAAGGCUAUCUAUUGGUGGACUGGUUCUUUGUGUCAAAGAAAAAUAUAUAGCGUGCAUGUGCAUAUGUGUUUGUACAUGUGUAGGUAAAGAUCUUACAGACUUUCUGAAAAUAUUUUCAGUCUUUAAUUAAGCAUUUAUAAUUUAAGACAGAUACAAAAAAGUAUUUUCGAUGUGCCAAAUGUGAAAGAAUAAUCCCAUAAAGAGAACCGCUCCAUAAAUAUCAGACAAUGGCCAUAAUAGACAUUGAAUGCUGAAAAUCAACUGUCAAAUAAUUGUGUAAAUGAAAGGGAACAAUCCUGAAAAUAUCAUCCAUCACAGUGACAUUUUUUAAAAGAAGGAUCCACUUUAGAAUUUAAUAUGUAUUUAGAAUUCUAUUUCAUUUUCUUCCAGAGUAUGUUUCACUUAAGUACAAAAUAAAUUGUUCAGGCCCACACUCACUAACUGUGAGAAAGUAAGAGGAUGGCUCAGAAUAUUCUCCCUAGCAGAAAAGGCAUUUUGGGUAUUAUCAGAAGAAAAACAUUAGUUCCAAACUAAGCACUAUAAAUCAGCCAUCUGAAAUUUCAAAAUUAUCCUAGAGGAUAACUGAAAAGGUCAUUGGUCACAAGCAAAAUUCUCAUAAAUCUUUUCUGAAAAUCCUUAAGCAUUUUACUCAACCAAAUGUGCAAAAGUUCUUAAAUAUUUCGGUGAUGGGGAUUUUACAACUUUAUAUAAAUCACUCAAUUUAUCAAGGUUUUCUUCAUGUUGAGUCAAAGCCUCUCUAUUUGUAGCGUCUAUCCUCUCGGCUCUAAAGAGAAUAGAGAUGAUCUUCCACAAACACAGCUCCAUGCUGCUGGUUGGAAAUCUAAAGCUGGAAAGCUUAAUUCUCUCAUAUUAUUCUUUCCUCACCAAGCAUUCUUUUGUUUGGAAUAUGCAUAUUAGUCUUUAUUUUUCACAUGCCAUCUACCAGGCCCUUUUCUAUAGAACAUUAGUUCCAUGAGAUGGUCCACAGGAAAAAAAAUGAAACGUUUCUGACAUUAUUACUUUCAGAAAUUCAGUAUAGUCUAUCCCCCCUCCUGGAAAUGUCUGGUAAAAAUAUUUGCCUGUCAUAUGGUCUGAGAUAUGUGGAAGUCUUGAAAUGGGCCAUGUAAGUCAACAUUCCCCUCAAGUAUGUGAAAAUGGAUUUUUGUCAGUUAAUUUUUGUUAAUUCAAAAAACUCAGGUUACUAAUGAGUAUAAAAACAUAAGAUUGAUAUGGUCUCUUAAUUAGUCAAACCUGCCAUUUAUGGACAUACUUCAGUUUGCUAAGAACUCUUUUAAAUCCUGUCUAAGAACAACAUUUAAUUUUCUACCAGUGGUGUAUUUUUUCCAAGUUCUAAAAGAAAUCCCCUUUCCCAAUUCUGUGUAAUUCCUUUAGUACAACCUAGUACUUCAAAACUUUAUGGAGUUUAUAAUCUAGUAAGCCUUUCAUUCUUUUGAUGAAUUAUAAUGAGGCUCUAUGAAAAUAAGAUUUUUAAAAUUAAUGUAGGAUCUGACAUCUGUUCAUGCUAAAUUUAACCUUUCAAAUUUUGCCCUAUUGCAUGUUUUCAAAAUUUUUUCACAUCGUAUCUUGCCAUUCACUACAUUUGCUAGUCCUCUUGGGUUUGUGUGUUUCUCCUCUUUGGUACAUAUUGUUCCAUGAUUUUGUCCAUGUUUUAUGAAAGUUUACAUGAUAGAGUACAGUACAAAGCCUCAUAACCAAUCACUACAACCCUUUCUCCAGUUUGGAAUUCAUCUAAGUUUUACCACUCUCCAGGUAUAGUUGUUUAGCUAUAAAAACACAUUUAUAACACAGUGCUAUUAUCCAUACGGAUAUUUAUAAGAAUCAUAAAAUGUAUCUAUGUAAAAUUCCUCAUGUAUUUUACUAUUUUCUUUGCCUCAACCACUCCACCACAAUGUCUCUAGUUAAGGCAACAGGUGAGCACUACAUAACUGAAGAGACACUUAAUUUUCUAUCCUCUUCUUGACUCAGCAACAUGUGACAAAAUUGAUCAUCUCUGCCUCCCUGAAUCACUUUCUCAAUUUGCCUUAUGCAGUCCUGGACUUUUCCUAUGUAACUUGGAAUUUCAUCAUGGUCUCAUUGUCCUGAUUUUCUCCUACUUAACUUGAAACUUCCUCAUGGCCUCAUUUCUUAAUUCCUUCUGUUACAUCCACUCUUAGAGUGACCUGGCACUGAGUCCCCAAAACUUUUAUAUACCUUACCUACCCCUGAUGAUAGUAUCCAAGCUAAUGGCUUCUGUAUACUUACUAUACACUGAUGAUUCCCGAAAGUGUAUGUCCUUUUCACAAAUUUAUUCAAACUUCAGACCCAUAUUUCCAACUACCAACUCAUUACCUCCAUUUCUAUAACUUUAGGCAUCUCAAAUAAGAGUGUUUAAACAGACCCUCUCCUAUCCUGCUCUCCCACAGUGUUCCCCAUUUCAGGUGACAGUAAAUCCACCCAUGUGCGAAAACUAUUAUGCCAUUUCUAGUUCCUGUCUUACACCUUACACUCAAUGUGAAGUACAUUUUCCCAGCCCUACUUUCAAAACAAAUCUAGAGUCUCAGCACUUCUCAACAUUCCCACCAGACUAUGGCUGAGGAUGUCAUUGCAUUCUCUUGUCAGCUUCCAAUCUACUAAUGAGACUUCUCACGACAACCUUUACUCCCCUGGAGGUUAUUCACUAUGCAAUAGCUGAGUGAUCCUGGUAAAAUCUACAAGGAAUUACAUUUCUUCUCUGCCUAAAUUAUCCAACAGCUUCUCAUCUCACAAUAAAAGCCAAGCAUUCCAAUGGUGGACAAGAUCCUAUAUGAUUUUGCUCCACAAUUAUUUCUCUCACCUUUUCUCCUAUAAUACUCCCCCUGUAACCAUUCCCAGCUAGUGUUUUCCUGCCAUUUCUUGAGCAGAGUAAGUACAUCCAACAGGUUGUUGAAAUUUGAUCUUGUUCUAGUCUGGAAAGCUUCCUCUCUCACUUUCUUCAGGUUUUUGCUGAAAAAACACUUUCACAGUGAAGCUUCCCCUGACUUUUUUUUUUUUUUUUUAAAUAGUGCUUUACACUCACCACCUCAUCUGAGUCCCUUUAUCUGCCUUUUUAAACUUAUUUUCCUCAAUGGCAUUUUUCAUCAUCAGGCAUAGUACAUAUUUCACUUGUCUAGUCUGGUUUUUGUUUGCAUGACUCAACUUAAAUUAAACUAUGUGGCAUUAUUUUUGUUGGUCCAGCAGCUAGAUUAUUGCCUAGCAUAUGACUCCAAAUAUAUCAUUGUUGAAUGAGAAUGAGAAUAGAGUAGACAAAUGAGAAAUAAAAUAUUUUAACUUUUGUACAAUUUGUUCUUAAUAGUUACCAGUGAUUGUCUCUUUCUUUUCAUUAAAUAUUCUGCUUAACAUUUCAUUUAUAAAUAUGCUAGCUUUUAAAUCAGUAAUAUCUGUAUUCAACAUUCCUCCCUUUAUAAAAGUAAAGAUAUUUGAUAUUUGUUCCAGCUCCUCUUCAAUUCUGCGUGUUUUCUCAAGGACAAUUGAUAUCAUGUUUCUCUUGUCAAGCAAUUCUAAUAUACUAUGGUAAAAUUCUUUCAAAUAUAAAGAUUCAAAAUCAUUUGUAGCAGCUGGGAAAUAAUUUUUUCAAAUUCUUUAUCCAUGUUUGUUCUACAGUUUCCACUUUGAAAACCUGUUGCUUAAUAGAGAAAGCAUAAUGAAAUCAGAUUUAGAUAACACUACUGUUUUUGUUUGAUUCAUUAAAUCACCUAGCCCAGCAAUAAGCCGAGGGAAAAUAUUAACUUAUUUUGAUAUUUCCAAUAAUUGAGAUAUUAAAAAGAUAUUAACUUAAUCUCUGUUCAUUUUGAUACAUGGAUAUGUGACAUUUUAAAAAUUACUCUGUUUUCUCCACUCAGUUUAUAUUGGAUUGUUUAAAGGACUAUUUUUCUCCUUAUUGGAAUAUUCUAUAAUUGUAGCUUUCCUCACAUGAUGCUACAACUUAUAAUUUCUCACUCUGUGGUACAAGUUAUCUUUUAUUUAAAUGGUGAAGUCUGCUUUCCCAUAGUCAAAGAUAGUGAACAUUUUCAUCACUGAUAAUACAAGACAGUCAUUUCUAUGUCAUCAACUCCUAUCAAUUUAUCCUUGUUAGUCAAAAUGAAGUGCCCAAUAGAGGUUCUCUAGUCUAACCUUCAGAGAUUAAAUUAUCACAAAGAUGAUUAUAAAAAUUACUCAGAUACUGUCUUUUUCAUAAUAGGUCUUUUAGUGUGUUCCCCUAAUUACUCUGUCUUGGCUCUAUGUCAAUUUUUAAUCCGUUUUAGGAAACACUCAUUCACAUUAUUUUUUUUAAAUCUGCUGGGCCAUUUGUCAUUUAUUUUUUAUAGUAAAUAUUCUAUUAUUUCACUUUUAUUGGAUUCACUCAAUUUUUAUUAAUGUUCUUUUAUAGUUAUUUUUAUGAAGUUCUAUGCAAGUAUUGAGGUUUCUUUUUUCUUUUUUUCUAUUUGAUGCCUUUCCUCCAUUUUCUAUUCUUUCCAGAUAAAUCAGACAUUUGCUGCCAUAUCUCAGUCAAAACCCCCAUCCUGCAAGUUUCUGGUGAUAUUUAGGAAACUACAUAUUUUCUUUAUGUUACAAUUUCAAAAUCAUAUCAUCCCCUUUCUCUCUCUCUCUCUCUCUCUCACCAGGAUCAAUGAUAUCCUUUCCUACUAUUUAAGUAUUAAGUAUUUACCCUUUCAACCUCAUUUUCCUCAUUUGUACAGAGGAAUGAUAACAUUGACCUCAAAAUACAUUUGUGAAAAUUGAAUGAAAUAACAGAGCAAGUGCCUAGCCUGAUUCUGUCUGAU
RNAcentral lists this long non-coding RNA (7068 nucleotides) under Canis lupus familiaris (dog). RNAcentral's name for it is "lncRNA (ENSCAFG00845011034.1)". Lineage: Eukaryota; Metazoa; Chordata; Mammalia; Carnivora; Canidae. The record is from RNAcentral.